ACAUUUCAUUAUGGUAAGGAAUAUUACAUUCUUCCUUACCAAGAUAAUUUUUACACAUGAACAUUUUGAAGAAAAAAAAAAUAAAGAAAACACAUUCAAAAUCCUACACGUAGGCACUAUAAAUAGCUAAAGAUAGAAACAUAAUGGCUAGAGCCUACACCAUCAUCAUCAUCAGCCAUAAAACUACACACCCAUACACGCACUGCACCAGAAACUAGACUAAUUAACACACACUAAUCUGAAUACACCAUAUUCAGCCGCAUACGAAUUCAUCUCUUUUUCGUCUCAUCUUCUCCAUGAGCACAGCUUAACCACAAAGCUCACCACCCCUCUAUAGCUGCUACAACAUAGCCACUUCAUCUCCACCCACUAGCCACCGUGAGAUCCUUCUCCAAACAGCCAUAAAACUAGAUCCAUUAGAAUCACAACAGCUUAAAAAAACGAAAAGCAGCAAAUGUUCUUAUGAAACCAGCCCCAAAACCUCUUGUUAACCACCACAGUAAAACUCCAUAAAGCCACCAAAGAUGGAUUCAAAUUUGUUGAAAAGCUCUUUAAGAUUACGAGGCUAGAGAUAAUCUCCAGUGAAUUGCAAGAUAUGAAGUAAAUUGAAAGUCGAGAAUUAUCUUCCAGGUGCAUACAGAGGAGUAGAGGAUAUUGCUAGAAGAUGUUCCAGCUGGGUUGGCGAGCUCCAUUUCUUUCCGGAGUGUUGCCGAGUCAGAGUACUCAUGUCAUGAUAUAAUGAUUUUAUGUUAGAGACUUUGCAGACAGAGUCACGUAUAUAGUAUGUCAUUCUUGUAAGCGGUUAUUUAAGCCAACGUAUCAUUAUGCAUUAUGUUACCAAAUUUCAUAUGAUUACAGAUUUUGGCUUGAUUUGAUAAAGACGAAAAGAAUGUUUUUGUUAAAA
Long non-coding RNA from Lycium barbarum (goji berry), 904 nucleotides. RefSeq lists it as uncharacterized. The record is from RefSeq and is a predicted model, not a curated record. The transcript has 3 exons. Lineage: Eukaryota; Viridiplantae; Streptophyta; Magnoliopsida; Solanales; Solanaceae.